GGGGGCUGCUCCUAGUACGAGAGGACCGGAGUGGACGCAUCACUGGUGUUCGGGUUGUCAUGCCAAUGGCACUGCCCGGUAGCUAAAUGCGGAAGAGAUAAGUGCUGAAAGCAUCUAAGCACGAAACUUGCCCCGAGAUGAGUUCUCCCUGAGACUUUAAGUCUCCUGAAGGAACGUUAAAGACGAUGACGUUGAUAGGCGGGUGUGUAAGCGCAGCGAUGCGUUGAGCUAACCGGUACUAAUGAACCGUGAGGCUUAACCUUACAACGCCGAAG
This 275-nucleotide ribosomal RNA is filed under the name Klebsiella pneumoniae. RNAcentral describes it as "partial 23S ribosomal RNA". It matches the Rfam family "Bacterial large subunit ribosomal RNA", at positions 2667 to 2925 of the family's 2925-position model. Lineage: Bacteria; Pseudomonadati; Pseudomonadota; Gammaproteobacteria; Enterobacterales; Enterobacteriaceae. The record is from RNAcentral.